Non-coding RNA from Solanum lycopersicum (tomato), 3797 nucleotides. Lineage: Eukaryota; Viridiplantae; Streptophyta; Magnoliopsida; Solanales; Solanaceae. The record is from RefSeq and is a predicted model, not a curated record.
AAAAAAAGUUUUUCCAUUAGGUUAGGGGGUGGAUAAUAUUUUGAGACUAGGGAUGAAAACUUUCCAAAAUAAAAAAACCCUAAAAGUUUCUCCUCAUAUUUUUGGCUAGGAGUCGGCAACCAUCCAACCUUCCAUUUUUCUUUCUCCUCCAUAUCCAAAAAACCAUCGGGAAUCUAUGGCCUCUUCUUCACUGAAACAGCUAGCCGACCAAACGACCAGCAACAAAAUAGAUCCAAAAACGACCUUCAAAAUGCAGCUGGAACAGCCACUCAAAUAGGCAACUACCUAACCCCAACUCGCCUGAAAUCACCAUUGGUCCUGCCAUCUUCUUCCCCAACUCAACAACCACAAAAGUCCCUCCUUCGUUUCCUCCUUUUUUCGGCGACGAAUAGCCGCAAAUCUUAACCAAUAACCACCAGACCCACCUCCAUCCUCCCCUUUCUUCUCCAACAUCAACAGAAAAAAAUUUAACCAUCAUCUUAGAACAAAAAAAAAGAAAACAAAUCCAUUUCACCACAAAAAUCUUAUCGUUUUCUCUUUUUCCAGUGAAAAGUCGUCGAAAACGAUCCAACAAUCAGACCACCGCCUGUCCUUUCACUUUUCCCCUUAACGAUUCUAUAUUUUUUGCAGGUGAACUAUAUCAACAAAUUUGUGAGCAAACAACAGCAGUAACCAAAAUUUCUAAGGAGCAACAAAACCAGUCACGAGGAAGAGUGACAACAACAACAAAUCUCUGACGGAUACGCAGUGUGUGAUCUGAAGCAUGGAUAGCAAUUGUGUUGUCAAAUGGAUGACAACACUCAUGAAACCAUACCUGCAAGGCUAUAUGGAACUGACUGAACUUGAAUAACGAAGGAUUUUUUUUCCAAUUUAUGAAAGCACACUUUAAGUGUUAAUUUAAAACACUCACUUCCCCAUGAAAAUAUGUCAUACUAUCCAGACUCUACUAAAUAAAAAUAUAAUUUAGAAAUGGUUAUUUUUUAUGGGUUUGAAGCAGUCAGAAAUGAAAAAAUGAAGUACAAAAUUCCAAUUUUUAAAGAGUCAUCCUUUUCCCAAUAGUUUUUUCAGUUUAAACUUAUGGUAGAAAUCUGACUUGGGUACUUUGUUCAUAUUCCCAAAAUUUUCUUGGAUAAGUAUAUUUGGAAUAGACUGAUCAGAAACAAAAUUAAAAAUUAGUCCAGAUUUUAGACCGGUUAUAGCGACAAAUUCUUUUAAUCCAAAGUGUAACUCUGUACCAUUUAUGUUUAUGAUGAACAUAUCAUCUCUGAUAUUUUCAGUUUCAAGAAGAAAAAAUAUGACGCAACAAUUGACAUUGAAUUUUUAUGUUAUGUAAAUCAUAAAAAAACAAAUGGUAUUUCUUGUAGAAAUUGUUGGGACCUAUCUUGAACGAGGAAGGUCAACAGAUCAGCGAACACAUUCAUGUUUGUACAUGAAGACAAAUAUGUUUGUACCUUCUUCUCCUAUAAAAUUGGUAAAACUAAAUUAAAACCUUUAACAUAAUAUGUAAUUUCAUAGAAAAAUCAUUAAUACGAUGCCAUAUUAAUGGACAACCAACUCAAUUCAUACACAAAUCAUACAACUAAUACAUCAGUCCAUAGAUAAUUCAUACAAUAUUUAUUCAUAUUAGAAUUUUUUAAAAAACUAAUAUGUGAAUUUCAAACUACAAAAUAAAAGUCAUACGGGAUCAAUAAAUCAAUUCGUACAUCAAAGUCAAACACAAAUUAUACAGUGGUAAUGCAUAUUAUAAUUGUCAAAAUUCUACGAUAUGCCUAUAAAUUCGAAGUGUUCGCAACCAAUUUCAAUACUUUUUCAUUUUUUUGAUCUUUUAUUUUUUAAUUCGUCCACAAAAUCAGAUUCUGACGAUGUUCAAAUUUCUUUUUCCUUCCUCUUCUUCCCUUUUUCCUUUGCCUCUUUUUUGUUUUUUUUAAUCUUUGAUUUAACAGAACUAGCCGUCUCUUUUUCCAUAUGAUUUUUGCGGUUGAAUUUGAGUCAAAAUAUUGAAUGAAGGAACAUGAAAGUCAUCAGAUGAUGACUCCUCAACCAAUAUUCUACUUUUACUGGGUGUUCCACUAACUUUGCUCGACAUUCUAUACGAACUUAACAAAAAAUCAUUUAUCAAGAUUUUAAAAAAUUGUUGAAUCGUGUUGUGUAAUAGAAAAUGUGGAUGUUUGAGUUAUGAAUUUGGAGAUGAAAUUGAUCUAUGAGGCGUGAUGGGGAUGGGGAUGAAUCAGGCAUGAUGGGAAGGUGAUGAGUGAGGCGCGUUUAGGGAUUGAUGUGUGAGGCGUAAUAGGUACAGUGAUCAAUCAGACCAUUCGGGAUGAUAAUGAUUGAGGCGUGUUGGGGAAGUUGAAUGCUGUUUGUGUUGGGUGUGAUGGAGGUGAGUAGUUAUUGGGCGAUGGUAAAGUAGAGAUUUAAUUAAAAUCAUAUCCCUAAUAUUUAGUUUUUGUUUUGAAAAGGUAACUCUAUAAUGUAAAAUUUGAUUAAUAAUAAUUUAUUAUUUAUUUUGAAAAUUGUAAAAGGUAACUGUACUAUUAAUUUGUAAAAAUUUAAAGAGUUUUAUUUUAAGAAAGGUAACUGAAAAAAUAAAAAUAAAUAUGUAGACAUAUUAAUUAGUAUUGAAAUAAUUACCUAUAUUUUAUUUUUAAUUAAAUAUAUUUUUAUUUGAUAUGAUAUAACUCGAUAAUAAUCUGCUAUAAGUAAUUUAUUUUUAAAGAGUAUUUAUAACUCGAUAUAUAUCGUCUUAAAUAUGUAUGGGUGUUAUUUUAAUUUCUAAACAAAAUGAUUCAACACCAAUGCAUAUAACCUGGCCCAACCCAUUUGCUCUUCACGAAAGAAACCCAUCAACAAUACAGCGCACAACAAAAGUGAUAUCGUCUUCUUCACCCAAAAAUCUUGUCAAAUCCAAAAAUCCACCAGCAAAACUUGGCGCAUCAGUAUAUGCCCAUACGCCUGUCAUCCUCGUGUCUAAUCGUCUCUUUUUUUCCCUAUUUCGCGCAGCCACAGGCUGCACAACAUCUUUCUCUAUUUGCCUUUGAAAAAAGAGAGAUUUUAAAUUUUUGCUCAACGGUUUCCCCCCUAAAUUGACCUCAACUUUUCCUCCAUAUAAACUACCCUUAACCAUCAACCAAGGGAGGAUCUUAGAGGUUUUGGAGUUUGAGUUCCUAAGAGAAAUAUCCACUUCUACGCUUUUAAAAUUUUAUAACUAGUUUUCUGAGUAUGAAUACUGAAAAGAUCGCCUCUUAGAUUUUCUUGGUUUGUUGUUCGUAUUCGAAUUUCGUGCUGGAAGAAUUGUUGCCCUUCUCAAGCUUGACGUCCCAGCUCGAUGCUCCAAGAGAGCCUUGGAAUGUGUUGUUGUCUUAGCUUUGGAUCUGCCCGGCGGAUGCAAGCUUUGCCUAAUCGUUAAUCUUAAUUCGUCUAAUUUGAUAUCGUUGACUCUGUAGCUUUAAUAUAUAUUGUGGGUAUUGUUAUGAGUUUAUCCCUUAAAUGUUUGUCUCAUCGAGUUGGUACUUAGCCUAGCUCGAAAGAUUUCUUUUCUGUCUUUUAAAUGAUAUUAUGAUUCCUGUAUUGAGUUAAUUCAUUGGAGAUUUCUAAGACAUGUACUCCUCCCCCCUUUUUCCUUUGUUCGAAGUCGGGAAACUUUUUAUAUCCCAUGAUUGUCCCAUUUGUAGUCUAUUGUUGUAUUAGAUAGAAAGCUUGUUGUAGUUGUGGCCCCAUUUAAUCUUGACUAGCAUUUAUUUGUCACUAGCUACUUCUCAAACUCUAUUCUUAGUCAAUGACAGGUUACUGCCUUGAUUUUC